Alnus glutinosa is the source of this 604-nucleotide long non-coding RNA. RefSeq lists it as uncharacterized. The record is from RefSeq and is a predicted model, not a curated record. The transcript has 2 exons. NCBI's taxonomy places the organism in Eukaryota, Viridiplantae, Streptophyta, Magnoliopsida, Fagales, Betulaceae.
AUCACGUGUGAAAGCCUUCCCCUUUCCCCCCAUUUCUUCCCCCAAAUCCCCUAACCACCAACCACUUCCUCACCGAACGCAUCGGCGAUGCCCACCCACGGCACCAGCUCGAAAUCCGACGACGCCCAUUGACACAGGCCACGCCCACAGUCCAAAAAAGCAACGCACCGACGACGCCUACCCACGGCACCAGCUCGAAAUCCAGCGACGCCCAUUGACACAGGCCACGCCCACAGUCCAAAAAAGCACCGCCCACGAAGACAAAGGGCCUACCGACCGAUCGCCGCCCACCAAGACGAACGGCCUUCCGACCGGCCAACCGACACCAUCUCUCUCCCCUCUCUCUCUACGGCUUUCAAGAAUUCACAGUUAUCAUGUCCUGUAGUGUGAAGAAAGAUAUAGCCGUUGAUGGAGCUGAAUUUUUGGUAAUUAGUUUGUUGGAGGAUUUUUGGUCGUUUUCUCCAUUUAGGUUCUAAAAUUUUGGAGGCAGCUUAAUGUGUCAUUUGUUAGAGCAAUUGUUAUGUUGUAAUUUGGGAAAUAGUGAUGAAUGUUUCGUGUUUCCAUCUUCAUGUGGAUUCUGAUUUGAAUGAAUAAAUUCUUCUUA